Molecule: ribosomal RNA, 253 nt
Filed under: uncultured bacterium
Lineage: Bacteria
Description: partial 16S ribosomal RNA
Rfam family: Bacterial small subunit ribosomal RNA
Source: RNAcentral
UACAAAGACUGCAAGCGUUAUUCGGAUUCACUGGGCGUAAAGGGUGCGCAGGCGGCCAAGUGUGUGAGGCGUGAAAGCCCGGGGCUUAACCCCGGAAUUGCACCUCAAACUACAUGGCUAGAGCAUUGGAGAGGGUAGCAGAAUUCAUGGUGUAGCAGUGAAAUGCGUAGAUAUCAUGAGGAAUACCAGAGGCGAAGGCGGCUACCUGGACAAUUGCUGACGCUCAGGCACGAAAGCGUGGGGAGCAAAAGGG